AAAGCCCCGCCCCCCGCGCGUUGCCGGGAGACGGCGCCCAACCUUCCUCUGCAGCGCCCCUACCGACCCGCGCUCCGCAGCUCCUGAGGGCUUUCGAGCCCAGAUGGUCAUCUGAGACGAGAGGUGGCGGCGAAGGAGAGUCUCGCCUGUCACGCUCCCGGAGCAGGGGCUUCAUGAGGUGGCCAUGGAAACAGCCUGGCAGACUCCCAUCUCUCCUGGUGCCAUCUCCGGAGCGGAAAGUGGAGCGCCCCGCUGGCGACCAAGGCCGCACUGAGAGCCCUGGUUUGGUCAACAGUUGGGCUCCAAGAAGUCUCUUCCUUUCACUCUGCUGAGUGAAGCCCUUCCUGCCCUCAGGCUGGACCAUGGCUUCCAUGCUGCCCCUCUUUUCAAGGCUGCUUGUCUACAGUUCUACAGGUUUCUAGGCCCUUGGUGAGUGAAGAGCAGUUCAUUACGAAAUGACCUCCAAGAACAAGGCUCAGCAUUCUCUGAAAUCUCAUGAAGCAGUGUAACCAGCUCUCAAGUAUCUUCCUGUGAACUAGCCACAGGGAGCCCUGGUAUUCCUUGAACAUGCAUACCUUUCCCAGCGUGAGGGACAUGGACCGUGCCGUGCGAGGGACCCCAUCUUCUGCAGCAGGAGGGAGCAGAGAAGAGAACACAGGGAUUCCUGUUGCUAAAAGGUCUGUUUUCUCCUGCUAGCCACCCUCAUCAGCCAGAGUUCAAACCCUGACAGUGCCCAUGGAGAGAUCUGGUCCAAGGCACCAACCUCUUCCUGCUGGACUGAGAAAGAGCCUCCUACUGUGUCUCUCUUUACCUCAGCUUUUGCACACCUCCAAUAUAUUGUCCACUGAAGUCAGAAUAAUCUAAAAAUAAAGGCUGAUUACCUCAUGUGGUAUAAACUUAAAAAAAAAAA
Molecule: long non-coding RNA, 910 nt
Filed under: Homo sapiens (human)
Lineage: Eukaryota; Metazoa; Chordata; Mammalia; Primates; Hominidae
Description: IRAG1 antisense RNA 1, transcript variant 1 (IRAG1-AS1)
Source: RNAcentral